AUGAUUUAUUUUUUGCAAUUAAAGCUUGAAACACAAGAAGCCUGGUUAGCUCAAUCGGUAGAGCAUUUGACUCUUAAUCACUAUAAGGUCAAUCAAAAGGUUGCGGGUUCGAGCCCCGCAUCGGGCUUUCUUUUUUAUUUACUGCGCAAACAGCUCUGCAAAUAUGGCCACUUUUCUCUACUUUUAGCCAGAUCAAACCAAAAUCUUGAUUUUUGA
RNAcentral lists this transfer RNA (216 nucleotides) under Candidozyma auris. Its description in RNAcentral is "[Candida] auris tRNA-Lys". The stretch from base 40 to 127 matches the Rfam family "tRNA". The record is from RNAcentral. Lineage: Eukaryota; Fungi; Ascomycota; Pichiomycetes; Serinales; Metschnikowiaceae.